AGUGAACGCUGGCGGUAGGCCUAACACAUGCAAGUCGAACGGCAGCACAGUAAGAGCUUGCUCUUACGGGUGGCGAGUGGCGGACGGGUGAGGAAUACAUCGGAAUCUACUUUUUCGGGGGGGAUAACGUAGGGAAACUUACGCUAAUACCGCAUACGACCUACGGGAGAAAGCAGGAGAGCUUCGGACCUUGCGCGACUGAAUGAGACGAUGUCGGAUUAGCUAGUUGGCGGGGUAACGGCACACCAAGGCGACGAUCCGUAGCUGGUCUGAGAGGAUGAUCAGCCACACUGGAACUGAGACACGGUCCAGACUCCUACGGGAGGCAGCAGUGGGGAAUAUUGGACAAUGGGCGCAAGCCUGAUCCAGCCAUACCGCGUGGGUGAAGAAGGCCUUCGGGUUGUAAAGCCCUUUUGUUGGGAAAGAAAAGCAGCAGGUUAAUCCCCCGCUGUUCUGACGGUACCCAAAGAAUAAGCACCGGCUAACUUCGUG
RNAcentral lists this ribosomal RNA (492 nucleotides) under uncultured bacterium. Its description in RNAcentral is "partial 16S ribosomal RNA". It matches the Rfam family "Bacterial small subunit ribosomal RNA", at positions 29 to 507 of the family's 1533-position model. The record is from RNAcentral.